GUUCUAUAGGAAUUUCCAGAGGCGGGAAUUCAGGGGUGUGGUGGGCCUCUAAGGUCCCAGCAUUCCCUUCGGGCCGCCUCCAAGAUGGCGGCGCCCAUGUUGCGGUACAUUUUCCGGAGCCAGGGGCUUGGUACCCAAGGCCUGUCAGGAGUCUUGUCCUUGGGGCUGCGUGAGGCCCACUCGGCCGCUCAGGGGUUUCUGGCGGUGCAGAAGGCUCGGGGUCUGUUCAAGGAAUUCUUCCCCGAGAGGGGUACAAAGACAGAGCUCCCAGAGCUCUUCGACCGCGGCACCGGGGGGAAAUUUCCCCAGACCAUCUACUGCGGCUUCGACCCCACGGCCGACUCGCUUCAUGUCGGGCAUCUGCUGGCGCUUUUGGGCCUUUUUCAUUUCCAGCGAGCGGGCCACAACGUGAUCGCGCUGGUGGGAGGCGCCACGGCGCGCCUGGGAGACCCAAGCGGUCGUACCAAGGAGCGCGAGGCGCUGGAUGCGGAGCGUGUGCAAAGCAACGCGCGUGCCCUGAGCCAAGGGCUAAAGGCCCUGGCGACUAAUCACCAGCAGCUCUUUGCAAAUGGGCGGACCUGGGGCAGCUUCACCGUGCUGGACAAUUCGGCGUGGUACCAGGAGCAGGACCUGGUGGACUUCCUAGCGGCAGUGGGUGGCCACUUCCGCAUGGGAACGCUGCUGAGCAGGCUGAGUGUGCAGGCUAGGCUCAGGAGCCCCGAAGGCAUGAGUUUAGCCGAGUUUUUAUACCAGGUGCUCCAGGCCUAUGAUUUCUACUACCUGUUCCAGCAUUACGGAUGCCGGGUCCAGCUGGGUGGAUCAGAUCAGCUGGGCAAUAUCAUGUCUGGAUACGAGUUCAUCCACAAGUUGACUGGAGAAGAUGUGUUUGGAAUCUCUGUUCCUCUAAUUACAAGUACAACUGGAGCGAAACUAGGCAAGUCUGCUGGCAAUGCUGUUUGGCUAAACAGAGAUAAGACAUCUCCAUUUGAAUUGUAUCAGUUUUUUCUCAGGCAACAAGAUGAUUUGGUAGAAAGAUACCUGAAGCUCUUCACUUUUCUGCCUCUUCCAGAGAUUGACCACAUCAUGCAGCUGCAUGUCACAGAGCCAGAAAAGCGGGGUCCUCAGAAGCGACUUGCUGCGGAAGUAACAAAGCUUGUUCAUGGACAAGAAGGGCUGGCCUCUGCUAAAAGGUGUACACAAGCCCUUUAUCACAGCAGCAUAGAUGCGCUGGAAGUCAUGUCUGAUCAAGAGUUAAAAGAACUGUUUAAAGAGGCUUCAUUUUCUGAAUUAGUUCUUGACCCUGGAACAAGCGUCCUAGAUACAUGCCGCAAAGCAAAUGCCAUUCCAGAUGGUCCCCGAGGGUAUCGGAUGAUUACAGAAGGUGGAGUCAGUAUAAAUCAUAAACAAGUAACAAAUCCUGAGAGUGUUUUAGUUGUUGGACAACAUAUUCUUAAAAAUGGACUUUCAUUACUUAAAAUAGGAAAAAGGAACUUCUACAUUAUAAAAUGGCUUCAGCUAUGAUGAAAAUCCUUCUGGUGUUCAAACAUCAUCAUUCAUUAUCAAGAUAUACAAACUUAUAUCUUCACUUAUGCAACUCAAAACAAAGAAUGGAGUAUAUUCUAGGCCUCUGAGCCAGCUAGAUAUUAACAAUAAGAAGAAUGUAUCUGAUUCACUCAGUGAUGAAUAUGCUUUCCUUCAAAAGAAAUAACCAUCUCUGGCUAAUAGAAAUGGAACAAAGUAUCUUGUCCAGAUUUUAAACAGGCAACCGUUUACGAAGAAGACAAGUCACUACUUCAACUAUGGCAUCAUGAAGUUUAGGGAACCGCAACAACUCCUAUAUAU
Odocoileus virginianus texanus is the source of this 1842-nucleotide non-coding RNA. Lineage: Eukaryota; Metazoa; Chordata; Mammalia; Artiodactyla; Cervidae. The record is from RefSeq and is a predicted model, not a curated record.